This 497-nucleotide ribosomal RNA is filed under the name uncultured bacterium. RNAcentral's name for it is "partial 16S ribosomal RNA". It matches the Rfam family "Bacterial small subunit ribosomal RNA", at positions 28 to 507 of the family's 1533-position model. The record is from RNAcentral.
GAUGAACGCUGGCGGCGUGCCUAAUACAUGCAAGUCGAGCGAACAGAUGAGGAGCUUGCUCCUCUGACGUUAGCGGCGGACGGGUGAGUAACACGUGGAUAACCUACCUAUAAGACUGGGAUAACUUCGGGAAACCGGAGCUAAUACCGGAUAAUAUAUUGAACCGCAUGGGUCAAUAGUGAAAGACGGUUUUGCUGUCACUUAUAGAUGGAUCCGCGCCGCAUUAGCUAGUUGGUAAGGUAACGGCUUACCAAGGCAACGAUGCGUAGCCGACCUGAGAGGGUGAUCGGCCACACUGGAACUGAGACACGGUCCAGACUCCUACGGGAGGCAGCAGUAGGGAAUCUUCCGCAAUGGGCGAAAGCUUGACGGAGCAACGCCGCGUGAGUGAUGAAGGUCUUCGGAUCGUAAAACUCUGUUAUUAGGGAAGAACAAAUGUGUAAGUAACUAUGCACGUCUUGACGGUACCUAAUCAGAAAGCCACGGCUAACUACGUG